This 2902-nucleotide ribosomal RNA is filed under the name Escherichia coli. RNAcentral describes it as "bacterial LSU rRNA". It matches the Rfam family "Bacterial large subunit ribosomal RNA". The record is from RNAcentral. Lineage: Bacteria; Pseudomonadati; Pseudomonadota; Gammaproteobacteria; Enterobacterales; Enterobacteriaceae.
UUAAGCGACUAAGCGUACACGGUGGAUGCCCUGGCAGUCAGAGGCGAUGAAGGACGUGCUAAUCUGCGAUAAGCGUCGGUAAGGUGAUAUGAACCGUUAUAACCGGCGAUUUCCGAAUGGGGAAACCCAGUGUGAUUCGUCACACUAUCAUUAACUGAAUCCAUAGGUUAAUGAGGCGAACCGGGGGAACUGAAACAUCUAAGUACCCCGAGGAAAAGAAAUCAACCGAGAUUCCCCCAGUAGCGGCGAGCGAACGGGGAGCAGCCCAGAGCCUGAAUCAGUGUGUGUGUUAGUGGAAGCGUCUGGAAAGGCGCGCGAUACAGGGUGACAGCCCCGUACACAAAAAUGCACAUGCUGUGAGCUCGAUGAGUAGGGCGGGACACGUGGUAUCCUGUCUGAAUAUGGGGGGACCAUCCUCCAAGGCUAAAUACUCCUGACUGACCGAUAGUGAACCAGUACCGUGAGGGAAAGGCGAAAAGAACCCCGGCGAGGGGAGUGAAAAAGAACCUGAAACCGUGUACGUACAAGCAGUGGGAGCACGCUUAGGCGUGUGACUGCGUACCUUUUGUAUAAUGGGUCAGCGACUUAUAUUCUGUAGCAAGGUUAACCGAAUAGGGGAGCCGAAGGGAAACCGAGUCUUAACUGGGCGUUAAGUUGCAGGGUAUAGACCCGAAACCCGGUGAUCUAGCCAUGGGCAGGUUGAAGGUUGGGUAACACUAACUGGAGGACCGAACCGACUAAUGUUGAAAAAUUAGCGGAUGACUUGUGGCUGGGGGUGAAAGGCCAAUCAAACCGGGAGAUAGCUGGUUCUCCCCGAAAGCUAUUUAGGUAGCGCCUCGUGAAUUCAUCUCCGGGGGUAGAGCACUGUUUCGGCAAGGGGGUCAUCCCGACUUACCAACCCGAUGCAAACUACGAAUACCGGAGAAUGUUAUCACGGGAGACACACGGCGGGUGCUAACGUCCGUCGUGAAGAGGGAAACAACCCAGACCGCCAGCUAAGGUCCCAAAGUCAUGGUUAAGUGGGAAACGAUGUGGGAAGGCCCAGACAGCCAGGAUGUUGGCUUAGAAGCAGCCAUCAUUUAAAGAAAGCGUAAUAGCUCACUGGUCGAGUCGGCCUGCGCGGAAGAUGUAACGGGGCUAAACCAUGCACCGAAGCUGCGGCAGCGACGCUUAUGCGUUGUUGGGUAGGGGAGCGUUCUGUAAGCCUGCGAAGGUGUGCUGUGAGGCAUGCUGGAGGUAUCAGAAGUGCGAAUGCUGACAUAAGUAACGAUAAAGCGGGUGAAAAGCCCGCUCGCCGGAAGACCAAGGGUUCCUGUCCAACGUUAAUCGGGGCAGGGUGAGUCGACCCCUAAGGCGAGGCCGAAAGGCGUAGUCGAUGGGAAACAGGUUAAUAUUCCUGUACUUGGUGUUACUGCGAAGGGGGGACGGAGAAGGCUAUGUUGGCCGGGCGACGGUUGUCCCGGUUUAAGCGUGUAGGCUGGUUUUCCAGGCAAAUCCGGAAAAUCAAGGCUGAGGCGUGAUGACGAGGCACUACGGUGCUGAAGNAACAAAUGCCCUGCUUCCAGGAAAAGCCUCUAAGCAUCAGGUAACAUCAAAUCGUACCCCAAACCGACACAGGUGGUCAGGUAGAGAAUACCAAGGCGCUUGAGAGAACUCGGGUGAAGGAACUAGGCAAAAUGGUGCCGUAACUUCGGGAGAAGGCACGCUGAUAUGUAGGUGAAGUCCCUCGCGGAUGGAGCUGAAAUCAGUCGAAGAUACCAGCUGGCUGCAACUGUUUAUUAAAAACACAGCACUGUGCAAACACGAAAGUGGACGUAUACGGUGUGACGCCUGCCCGGUGCCGGAAGGUUAAUUGAUGGGGUUAGCGCAAGCGAAGCUCUUGAUCGAAGCCCCGGUAAACGGCGGCCGUAACUAUAACGGUCCUAAGGUAGCGAAAUUCCUUGUCGGGUAAGUUCCGACCUGCACGAAUGGCGUAAUGAUGGCCAGGCUGUCUCCACCCGAGACUCAGUGAAAUUGAACUCGCUGUGAAGAUGCAGUGUACCCGCGGCAAGACGGAAAGACCCCGUGAACCUUUACUAUAGCUUGACACUGAACAUUGAGCCUUGAUGUGUAGGAUAGGUGGGAGGCUUUGAAGUGUGGACGCCAGUCUGCAUGGAGCCGACCUUGAAAUACCACCCUUUAAUGUUUGAUGUUCUAACGUUGACCCGUGAUCCGGGUUGCGGACAGUGUCUGGUGGGUAGUUUGACUGGGGCGGUCUCCUCCUAAAGAGUAACGGAGGAGCACGAAGGUUGGCUAAUCCUGGUCGGACAUCAGGAGGUUAGUGCAAUGGCAUAAGCCAGCUUGACUGCGAGCGUGACGGCGCGAGCAGGUGCGAAAGCAGGUCAUAGUGAUCCGGUGGUUCUGAAUGGAAGGGCCAUCGCUCAACGGAUAAAAGGUACUCCGGGGAUAACAGGCUGAUACCGCCCAAGAGUUCAUAUCGACGGCGGUGUUUGGCACCUCGAUGUCGGCUCAUCACAUCCUGGGGCUGAAGUAGGUCCCAAGGGUAUGGCUGUUCGCCAUUUAAAGUGGUACGCGAGCUGGGUUUAGAACGUCGUGAGACAGUUCGGUCCCUAUCUGCCGUGGGCGCUGGAGAACUGAGGGGGGCUGCUCCUAGUACGAGAGGACCGGAGUGGACGCAUCACUGGUGUUCGGGUUGUCAUGCCAAUGGCACUGCCCGGUAGCUAAAUGCGGAAGAGAUAAGUGCUGAAAGCAUCUAAGCACGAAACUUGCCCCGAGAUGAGUUCUCCCUGACUCCUUGAGAGUCCUGAAGGAACGUUGAAGACGACGACGUUGAUAGGCCGGGUGUGUAAGCGCAGCGAUGCGUUGAGCUAACCGGUACUAAUGAACCGUGAGGCUUAACCUU